UACGGAGGGUGCAAACGUUGCUCGGAAUCAUUGGGCGUAAAGCGUGUGUAGGCGGUUUGUUAAGUCGGGUGUGAAAGCCCUGGGCUCAACCCAGGAAGUGCAUUCGAAACUGGCAAACUUGAGUACGGGAGAGGGUCGCGGAAUUCCCGGUGUAGAGGUGAAAUUCGUAGAUAUCGGGAGGAACACCAGUGGCGAAGGCGGCGACCUGGGCCAAUAUUGACGCUGAGGUGCGAAAGCGUGGGGAGCAAACAGG
Molecule: ribosomal RNA, 253 nt
Filed under: uncultured bacterium
Lineage: Bacteria
Description: partial 16S ribosomal RNA
Rfam family: Bacterial small subunit ribosomal RNA
Source: RNAcentral